Molecule: ribosomal RNA, 319 nt
Filed under: uncultured bacterium
Lineage: Bacteria
Description: bacterial SSU rRNA
Rfam family: Bacterial small subunit ribosomal RNA
Source: RNAcentral
AACAAACGCUGGCGGCGUGCCUAAUACAUGCAAGUCGAACGGGGAAAGCCUUCGGGUGAGUACUAGUGGCGCACGGGUGAGUAACACGUGGGUAAUCUGCUUUAGAGUGGGGGAUAACGUAGCGAAAGUUACGCUAAUACCGCAUACGCACUAAGGUGGAAAGUGGGGGAGUCUUCGGACCUCAUGCUCAUGGAGUGGCCGAUAUCUGAUUAGCUAGUUGGUGAGGUAAAGGCUCACCAAGGCGACGAUCAGUAGCUGGUUUGAGAGAACGACCAGCCACACUGGAACUGAGACACGGUCCAGACUCCUACGGGAGGGC